GCUUAGAAGCAGCCACUCAUUAAAAGAGUGCGUAAUAGCUCACUGGUCGAGUGACUCUGCGCGGAAAAUAUAACGGGGCUAAGCAUGAAACCGAAGCUUGGGCUUGUCUUUAAGACAGGGGUAGGGGAGCGUCGAGUAUGGGGUGAAGUCAGAGCGAGAGCACUGGUGGACUGUACUGGAGUGAGAAUGCCGGAAUGAGUAGCGAGAAUUAUGUGGGAAUCAUAAUGGCCGAAAAUCUAAGGUUUCUUGGGGAAGGUUCGUCCGCCCAAGGUAAGUCGGGAGCUAAGCUCAGGCCGAGAGGCGUAGGCGAUGCACAUACGGUAGAAAUUCCGUAACCACCGAAACUUAAACAGAGGGACACUUCGAAAUAGCGGAACCCGGGCGUUGGUUGACCCGGGCGUAAGGGAGCGAAAUUAGAGUAGCGAAGUCCGCGAUGUUCGGAGGCGAGAAAAGCUCUGAGGUAUGCUAAGGUGCCCGUACCGCAAACCGACACAGGUAGAUGAGGAGAGAAUCCUAAGGCCAACGGGAGAAGGGUUGUUAAGGAACUCGGCAAAUUGACCCCGUAACUUCGGAAGAAGGGGAGCCUCGAAAGAGGCCGCAGUGAAUAGGCCCAAGCAACUGUUUACCAAAAACACAGGUCUAUGCUAAAUCGAAAGAUGACGUAUAUGGGCUGACGCCUGCCCGGUGCCGGAAGGUUAAGAGGAGAUGUCAGGCAACGAAGCAUUGAAUUUAAGCCCCGGUAAACGGCGGCCGUAACUAUAACGGUCCUAAGGUAGCGAAAUUCCUUGUCAGGUAAGUUCUGACCCGCACGAAUGGCGUAAUGAUUUGGGCACUGUCUCAACAGCCCGCCCGGCGAAAUUGUAGUACUGGUGAAGAUGCCAGUUACCCGCAACUAGACGGAAAGACCCCAUGGAGCUUUACUGCAGCUUAAUACUGAGAUUCGGUAAAUCAUGUACAGGAUAGGUGGGAGACAUAGAAACACGGCCGUCAGGUCGUGCGGAGUCGCCCUUGGGAUACCACCCUUGAUUUGCUGGGUUUCUAACCUGCGGCCGUGAAUCCGGUCGGGGGACACUGUUAGGCGGGCAGUUUGACUGGGGCGGUCGCCUCCAAAAGAGUAACGGAGGCGCUCAAAGGUUCGUUCAGCACGGACGGAAAUCGUGCAUUGAGUGUAAACGCAUAAACGAGCCUAACUGCGAGACCGACGGGUCGAGCAGUAACGAAAGUUGGAGUUAGUGAUC
This 1238-nucleotide ribosomal RNA is filed under the name human gut metagenome. RNAcentral describes it as "bacterial LSU rRNA". It matches the Rfam family "Bacterial large subunit ribosomal RNA", at positions 1104 to 2420 of the family's 2925-position model. The record is from RNAcentral.